RNAcentral lists this long non-coding RNA (2883 nucleotides) under Calidris pugnax (ruff). RNAcentral describes it as "lncRNA (ENSCPUG00000005320.1)". Lineage: Eukaryota; Metazoa; Chordata; Aves; Charadriiformes; Scolopacidae. The record is from RNAcentral.
AUGAAAAUCUUUCUCACAUGUUUUAGAUGCGAAGUAGUAAUGCUUCAUGUGCUCCAUUUAUUUGUUUAUAAGGAAAUUAAUUUAUGUAGAUGUGUAUGUGUAUGUACAAUGGAUAACAAUGCGUGGUACAAACUAUACAAAUCAUGCAGAAAAGAAAUCUGCCACCAAAUUGUGUCAUUCUGUUUUUUGCCAGAAAUAAGUAUCUGUGUCUACAUUUCAUCUUCUCACCCCUACAUCAGUUUCAAUGCCACGGUCUUCCUGAUGAUCAUGCCACCAGAAGAUGGCACUGAAAAACCCUGUCCUACAGCUGUAGCUUCUCAUGAAGACUGAUGAAAAUGUCUUCAAUAUGAUCCAAAUGGCACUUAAGCCUCAGGGUUCACUUCAUGCCUUUUGAUGCAUCCCUGAUCAGGCUUUGUUUUGGGAUAUGUGAUGGUAUAGGACCAUUAACCGUUACCAGUAAGUACUAAUGUUAAUUACAUUGAGCACAAUCCUCCAGUUGGUCCAUCUGUUAUUAAUUUCUUAUACGUUAUCUAUUCUUGUUUGGGGUUUUCUCUGUGCUCCAGGAACACGUCUUCUAGUUUUAUUCUGGCUUAAUUUAAAUGAUGUUAGCUCCUGUAUGCCUCAGUGAAACACUUCUGUGCUUUUUUAAAUUUAGCUUUCAUUUUUCAAGUGAUUUUUGAAGAUUAUGUUUGCAUGUGAUUUUAAUGUUUAGUUAUGGUGUUGCAUCUGAAUCUUUAUCUUAUUAAACAACUUUAACAUCUUGUAUUUCAUAUAGUGCACCUUUUGAAAAAAUCAAUCUCAGUAUAUUUUUGGAUUUGGGCUCUUUCCCUCAGGUUUGAAUACCGCCUUUUGUUUCUUCGCUAUCAUCAUGAAAGUGGUUUCCGUUUCCCGUACUAAAUUUCUCUUUCUUUUUCAGAUGGUUAUCAACUGAAAACAGUAUUUUCAGUAUUAUUCCUCUGCUGCUUUACUCCUGGUGGGAGCUCAGCCCCGCUGCUGCCUGAAACGGUAGUGCCGCAGACAGGUUGUAGCUCUACGGCCAUCAGCCCGCAGCGCUUCGUGCACCGCAACUAAUUGCUGUGAAGUAAUAAGCCGACAUAAAGCAGUCAGAUUAGGAUUUAGAUAAUUGCAGUAUGUUUAAAUGCGGGCUCCUGGCUGUUAGUUACCGUGGUGGGGAGCCGCCGGGCAUAGCCGGGCGCGCAGCUCCAUCUCCCGGGCAGCGGGGAAAGCCACCGGCGGCCGGGAUGAACCCACCACAGACCCGGCCACCGGCGGGGGACAGGGAGCCCUCCCUUUAGAAAUGCCGUCAGGACACUUCGAAGAUUGUUUCCCUCUGCUUGGGGAGUAUCUCAGCCUUUGCCUGACAGGGCAGUACAAUAUGUCGUGGCUGAAGAGCACUACAGAAAAUUCCAACAUCUGGCUUGGGGAUGGAAAAACCUGGAAAGCUGAGCACAAAGCAAGUUUGGGAAAUAGGGUUUGGGCACAGAGGCAUGUUCUCCUCCUCUGUUUGGUAAGUUUUUCAGAGAUAAGCAGUGAACUGGCCCUGAGAAACACUUUAGCUGUAAAAUUUGAGGUUUCAUAAAUCUAAAGGGUGGGUUGAGGUUAAGGUUAAGUUUAGGAUCUGGGAAAAUAAGUGCUGCAGAAGCAGGUUUUCUGCUGGAUUUUGCAGUCAUGAGAUUGGUACAGUCAUAUAUGAAUGCCUCGUUAAACUUGGAGGAGCCAUAGGUGUUUAAGAUCUUGUAGGCUGACAGUUGCAACUCUCUCUAGAGUUUGGAAAAGGUAAUUUGGAGGCAUCUUUUCUGUUGUAUGUGUAAGGCUCCCGGAGGUAAAGGGAAGGUAGGUCUGAAGAUAUUUAAUGGUUUUAUGCAAACUACCCAGGGCAACAGGGCAGUUGAGGUCAAGUUCAGGAAAAUAGAUCCCAGAAAUAGUUUCUCGUGGUGAAAGUAAGGCUUAUAGAGAUAUCUUUCCUGCUGCAAAGGCCCAUGAGAUCAUUUGAGAACAGGCAUCUACAUGCCUUAUUCUUAUUUUUGGGGUAGGAAGAGUGUUGCUAUGUUUUUGUGAAGUGAACAGAGAAGAGAACAAGGACUGCAGGAUCAGGUUUGCAUUAUGUUUUUGCAAGGUCUCCUCAAAGAUGAGUAAGAGCUGGUACAAAGGAAAGAUUUCAUCUUGAACUCUUGGAUAGCUCUCCUGAAAGUUAGGGUCAAGGCUUGUCUUCUGGUAGCCAUACAAGUAAAUACCAAGCUGAAGUGAGGAGAAUCUAAUGUGAUAUUCUUGAUUCUGGUGUAGCUUAAGCAACACUUUAUCUUACCUGUUUAAGGGUUCAUGUUUGGUUACAGAGUAGGAAGCAGUGCUUUCAAAGCCCAGACAGGGCUAGUACUGAUAGAUGUCACUGCCUCAUAUUUAACUUCAAAGCAGCCAUGAAUUUCAGGGAUUUGGUCAGGACUAGUGUUAAGGUUUGGAAUUCUGCAGAAGUCAUUUAUUUGCAGGUUACUACAGAAUUUCUGCAGGUUAUUUUACGAAGCCUGAUGCAGUUAGCUUGCGGUUUGUAGUUGUGGAUUUAAGGAGCUUAAUUUUUUGGGCAGCAGGUGGUGCUUGGUCUACACGAUCAUUUUAGUAGCCAUUAACCAUUGAACGGCUUGCUAUGACAUAGCAUUCAGUAGUGGGUGCUACAUGCUGCCCAUUUUUCACUGAGGGCUUUCAGCAGGACAAGUGAUGUGGUUAUGUGUGUUUGUCAUGGGAUUGGUGUUUGUGCAAAUCACUAGGAUAACCGGGAUUAACCGGAGGAUGGAGCAUGUAUAUGGUUGCAUUUUAAGCAAAUCAUGAUCAGGAUGGUUAUGAUCAGGAAUAUCAGAAAUAAAGGGAGAGAGAACUCUUGCCCCUGCUUCA